Molecule: transfer RNA, 76 nt
Filed under: Chloroflexota bacterium
Lineage: Bacteria; Bacillati; Chloroflexota
Also listed under: 1 other name
Description: Chloroflexi bacterium (wastewater metagenome) tRNA-Lys
Rfam family: tRNA
About the family: Transfer RNA (tRNA) molecules are approximately 80 nucleotides in length. Their secondary structure includes four short double-helical elements and three loops (D, anti-codon, and T loops).
Source: RNAcentral
GGGCCAUUAGCUCAGUUGGUAGAGCAGUUGACUUUUAAUCAAUUGGUCGAGGGUUCGAGUCCCCCAUGGCCCACCA